Molecule: ribosomal RNA, 520 nt
Filed under: uncultured Glomus
Lineage: Eukaryota; Fungi; Glomeromycota; Glomeromycetes; Glomerales; Glomeraceae
Description: SSU rRNA
Rfam family: Eukaryotic small subunit ribosomal RNA
Source: RNAcentral
AGCAGCCGCGGUAAUUCCAGCUCCAAUAGCGUAUAUUAAAGUUGUUGCAGUUAAAAAGCUCGUAGUUGAAUUUCGGGACCAAUCUGCCGGUCGUGCCUCCGGUACGCACUGGCUUUAUUGGUCUCUCCCUUCUGACGAACCAUGAUGUCAUUAAUUUGGUGUCAUGGGGAAUCAGGACUGUUACUUUGAAAAAAAUUAGAGUGUUUAUAGCAGGCUCACGCUUGAAUACAUUAGCAUGGAAUAAUGAAAUAGGACGUUUGACCCUAUUUUGUUGGUUUCUAGGAUCGACGUAAUGAUUAAUAGGGAUAGUUGGGGGCAUUAGUAUUCAAUUGUCAGGGGUGAAAUUCUUGGAUUUAUUGAAGACUAACUACUGCGAAAGCAUUUGCCAAGGAUGUUUUCAUUAAUCAAGAACGAAAGUUAGGGGAUCGAAGACGAUCAGAUACCGUCGUAGUCUUAACCAUAAACUAUGCCGACUAGGGAUCGGAUGAUGUUAAUUUUUUAAUGACUCAUUCGGCGCCUU